This 64-nucleotide microRNA precursor is filed under the name Nomascus leucogenys (northern white-cheeked gibbon). Its description in RNAcentral is "miRNA (ENSNLEG00000034492.1)". The record is from RNAcentral. Lineage: Eukaryota; Metazoa; Chordata; Mammalia; Primates; Hylobatidae.
GAGGGGUAGGUGGGGUCUUGAAGCCCCGGGAUACCUCACGUCUUCACCCCUCUCACCUAAGCAG